Molecule: ribosomal RNA, 491 nt
Filed under: uncultured bacterium
Lineage: Bacteria
Description: partial 16S ribosomal RNA
Rfam family: Bacterial small subunit ribosomal RNA
Source: RNAcentral
AGUGAACGCUGGCGGUAGGCCUAACACAUGCAAGUCGAACGGCAGCACAGUAAGAGCUUGCUCUUACGGGUGGCGAGUGGCGGACGGGUGAGGAAUACAUCGGAAUCUACUUUUUCGUGGGGGAUACGUAGGGAAACUUACGCUAAUACCGCAUACGACCUACGGGUGAAAGCAGGGGAUCUUCGGACCUUGCGCGAUUGAAUGAGCCGAUGUCGGAUUAGCUAGUUGGCGGGGUAAAGGCCCACCAAGGCGACGAUCCGUAGCUGGUCUGAGAGGAUGAUCAGCCACACUGGAACUGAGACACGGUCCAGACUCCUACGGGAGGCAGCAGUGGGGAAUAUUGGACAAUGGGCGCAAGCCUGAUCCAGCCAUACCGCGUGGGUGAAGAAGGCCUUCGGGUUGUAAAGCCCUUUUGUUGGGAAAGAAAAGCAGCAGGUUAAUACCCCGCUGUUCUGACGGUACCCAAAGAAUAAGCACCGGCUAACCUCGUG